AGUUACCAGCACGUUAUGGUGGGCACUCUAAGGAGACUGCCGGUGACAACCGGAGGAAGUGGGGAUGACGUCAAGUCAUCAUGGCCCUUACGGCCUGGGCUACACACGUGCUACAAUGGUCGGUACAAAGGGUUGCCAAGCCGCGAGGUGGAGCUAAUCCCAUAAAACCGAUCGUAGUCCGGAUCGCAGUCUGCAACUCGACUGCGUGAAGUCGGAAUCGCUAGUAAUCGUGAAUCAGAAUGUCACGGUGAAUACGUUCCCGGGCCUU
RNAcentral lists this ribosomal RNA (268 nucleotides) under uncultured Pseudomonas sp. RNAcentral's name for it is "partial 16S ribosomal RNA". It matches the Rfam family "Bacterial small subunit ribosomal RNA", at positions 1113 to 1382 of the family's 1533-position model. Lineage: Bacteria; Pseudomonadati; Pseudomonadota; Gammaproteobacteria; Pseudomonadales; Pseudomonadaceae. The record is from RNAcentral.